Molecule: ribosomal RNA, 253 nt
Filed under: uncultured microorganism
Description: partial 16S ribosomal RNA
Rfam family: Bacterial small subunit ribosomal RNA
Source: RNAcentral
UACGUAGGUGGCAAGCGUUGUCCGGAUUUAUUGGGCGUAAAGCGAGCGCAGGCGGUUCUUUAAGUCUGAUGUGAAAGCCCCCGGCUCAACCGGGGAGGGUCAUUGGAAACUGGAGAACUUGAGUGCAGAAGAGGAGAGUGGAAUUCCACGUGUAGCGGUGAAAUGCGUAGAUAUGUGGAGGAACACCAGUGGCGAAAGCGGCUCUCUGGACUGUAACUGACACUGAGGCUCGAAAGCGUGGGUAGCAAACAGG